AGCGGAAACGACACUAACAAUCCUUCGGGUGCGUUAAUGGGCGUCGAGCGGCGGACGGGUGAGUAAUGCCUAGGAAAUUGCCUUGAUGUGGGGGAUAACCAUUGGAAACGAUGGCUAAUACCGCAUAAUGCCUACGGGCCAAAGAGGGGGACCUUCGGGCCUCUCGCGUCAAGAUAUGCCUAGGUGGGAUUAGCUAGUUGGUGAGGUAAUGGCUCACCAAGGCGACGAUCCCUAGCUGGUCUGAGAGGAUGAUCAGCCACACUGGAACUGAGACACGGUCCAGACUCCUACGGGAGGCAGCAGUGGGGAAUAUUGCACAAUGGGCGAAAGCCUGAUGCAGCCAUGCCGCGUGUAUGAAGAAGGCCUUCGGGUUGUAAAGUACUUUCAGUUGUGAGGAAGGGGGUAGCGUUAAUAGCGCUAUCUCUUGACGUUAGCAACAGAAGAAGCACCGGCUAACUCCGUGCCAGCAGCCGCGGUAAUACGGAGGGUGCGAGCGUUAAUCGGAAUUACUGGGCGUAAAGCGCAUGCAGGUGGUUCAUUAAGUCAGAUGUGAAAGCCCGGGGCUCAACCUCGGAACUGCAUUUGAAACUGGUGAACUAGAGUACUGUAGAGGGGGGUAGAAUUUCAGGUGUAGCGGUGAAAUGCGUAGAGAUCUGAAGGA
Molecule: ribosomal RNA, 661 nt
Filed under: Vibrio sp. Vb126
Lineage: Bacteria; Pseudomonadati; Pseudomonadota; Gammaproteobacteria; Vibrionales; Vibrionaceae
Description: bacterial SSU rRNA
Rfam family: Bacterial small subunit ribosomal RNA
Source: RNAcentral